UGUGGCACCAUUACCUCCUUUACUUCAACAGUUAUUGAUGACAAAAGAAAACACCUCUAUGCCUGCCCUUGUGAGAGAGAGGAGAAGGAUACCUCACUACUACUGAUGUGGGAAUCAUCCACAUUCACAACAUGAGCUACUCUCUCAUACGGGGCAACAUAAUAUCACUGCAGAGGGAACUGUAAAUGCAUAGUGGCAGAUCAUAUUGAUCCAUACAGUAGUAGUAGGCAAAAUGAAAGAAAGAGUGGAUGCUGCUGUUUUUCAUAAGAAGGUAAAACACCAUGCACAACAGAGCUCUUCUGUUAGAGGAUACCAUUUUUAUUCAGGAAACCUCAUUAUAAGCUCUCAGCACGAUUCAGAGGCUCUAAAGCAAGAUCCUCUAGCAAUAAAGGCCAUCAUCGUCUCACCUACUCUUUCUCUACUCAAUGGGACAUAUUGUUUUUACAGAUCCAUGCUGAGCUUAGUGGGAUUUAGAUGAAAAUCUGAAUCCUGAAACCUCUGGUAAGCCAUUCAUGCGGCUCUACCUGUGGAGCCCUGAGUGUGACUUUGCACUUGGUCAAACCUUUGACCCACGGGCAUGUUUAGGCUGAUGCUGCGGGCUGGGCUCUGAUGUGUUCUUGUCCCUAUGGUCAUUCUAGUCUCCCAGGAGACUAUAUGGACAUGAUCUCUCCCUCCUGUGCAUGCAUGCGUGUGUGAUCUCUCCUGUGGUCACUCUGGUGUAACAGAAGAGCAUGGGAAAUGACUUCAUGACCCCUGUGUGAUCUCUCUGAAGAGAGGACUAUGGAGGGUCUGGGUCAGAGGAAUGGUGCUUUACCAAACAUUCGGUGUGUGAGGCGGCUGGAAAUUGACGCUAGGGUCAGAGCCCUCUAAUUAGAGCUAAAUGAUGAGGACAAACCAGGACAUCUGGGGAUGUUGCAUUUGGGUAGUGAUUUUUAGAUGUGCAAUAAAUUGUGAUAUAUUGGUGCGUAUUGUGCAAUAAUUACAUGAACACAUGUAUCGGAUGAGGUGAAGUCUCAAUGGUUGGUAUGAGUUGAGUUUGAGUGUAGGGAGAUAGGGUGAUACACCUACUGUGUAGUGUUUUUAUUUGUACAAAUGUCACAUUCUUUUGAAUACAAUACAUCGUCAUUAAUAAAAUAGCUAUUCCAUUCUCACUGUAAACUAGUUUUAAUUAUUUAAUUUCUUAUCACAAAGGCAGUUAAUUACAUUAGUUACAACAGGAGUAAAAAUAUCCAUAUUUGUGGUAGGGCCUAUAUACUGUAUCUUAAAUUGUUUUAAACAAAUAUCACAGUUCUUUAAACAUAAGGAUAAUUGAAAAACACAACUCAGUGACAGACAGUAUCUAUUUCCUUGACAUUCUCAAUGUAAAGGUUCUUAAUGUUUUUUUCUUUGUUAUAUUGAUAGAUAUUAAACAAAAACAACAUCAACAAAUAGAGAAACAAUGAUAACAAUCAGAAACAAAAUAGUGUAAUAGAAAAAAAGUACAAUAAUAAUAACAAAAACAUAAAAAUGAAAAUAAAACAUUUAAAAAAAAGAUUUCCACAUAGUUGCCCAACCUUCUGCUCAGAAACACACCCAACAUCUCACUAUGCAACAGGUUUACGUAUCGGCACAAACAGUAUGGUAUCCCCUUACUCCCUUUACACUGAGUUAAAGUGGACAUGAAAUCUUAUUCAAAUCUGUUCAUAUACACUCCCAGUGUAUAUAUAUUUUAACACUGACCAUUUUACUUGCCCUAGCAGAGCUGGUUAGGCUGUUUUCAUGUUAUCUAGACCGUUGGUGACUAACUGUACUGCUGGCAACAAUUGAAUUACUUUUUUUGCCGACAUUUACUGACACCAGUCAUAUUCAGAGGGUGUUGAAAGUUGGUAAAUUCAUCAGUUAUUCUGCGCUCUGGUACACUCAGACAAGUGCUCUGAAAUCGGAGGAGUUAGUCAGACUGAAUUUAUGAACGCAAGAGAUAUGCUAACUGGACAACAGUUGUUCAAGUUCAGCAUAGCUAGCUAGCAAAACGAUUCACAAUUCUUGCUAACUAACCAAGUGACGCCUGCAUCUCUAGCUGCAGCCACCGGCAAAUUAUAUGAGGGGGGAAACCCACUCAUCCAAUGACAAGACAUCCUCCUAGCAGCUAGCUCAGGUGGAGGCAGCCAACACUGUACCAGGCCAGCUGGGAUUUACAACCUGAUGGAUUGCCAUCACCACGGCAGCAUUACCACAGCCUGGCCAUGUCUACCUGUGACUCCAAGCAAAACUCUAGAUUCCACCCCCUGGAUCCUUCAUCCGCAGCCCUCUGCUUCAUCUGGUCCAUUCUCAUUCUCCUCUUGAAUCCUCAUUCUCACGUCCAUUCCAUAUCCUCAAUAAAAAUUCUAAACCCAUUUCAAUGUCUGGUCCUUAACUUGUGAAAUUCCAGUUUUGACCAAUGAAA
Molecule: long non-coding RNA, 2422 nt
Organism: Salvelinus fontinalis (brook trout)
Lineage: Eukaryota; Metazoa; Chordata; Actinopteri; Salmoniformes; Salmonidae
Exons: 3
Source: RefSeq, a predicted model, not a curated record